RNAcentral lists this ribosomal RNA (433 nucleotides) under uncultured bacterium. Its description in RNAcentral is "partial 16S ribosomal RNA". It matches the Rfam family "Bacterial small subunit ribosomal RNA", at positions 29 to 507 of the family's 1533-position model. The record is from RNAcentral.
AACGAACGCUGGCGGCAUGCCUAACACAUGCAAGUCGAACGAGACCUUCGGGACUUUUGGCGCACGGGUGCGUAACGCGUGGGAACCUGCCCUUAGGUUCGGAAUAACUCCCCGAAAGGGGUGCUAAUACCGGAUAAUGUCUUCUGACCAAGGAUUUAUCGCCUUUGGAUGGUCUCGCGUUGGAUUAGCUUGUUGGAAGGGUAAUAGCCUACCAAGGCGACAAUCCAUAGCUGGUCAGAGAGGCUGAUCAGCCACACUGGGAGUAGGACGCGGCCCAGAAUCCUACGGAAGGCAGCAAUGGGGAAUAGUGGAAAAUGGGCGAAAGCCUGAUCCAGCAAUGCUGCGUGAGUGAUGAUGGCAUUAGGGUAGUAAAGCUCUUUUAACCGGGAUGAUAAUGACAGUACCGGGAGAAUAAGCUCCGGCUAACUCCGUG